This 253-nucleotide ribosomal RNA is filed under the name uncultured bacterium. RNAcentral describes it as "partial 16S ribosomal RNA". It matches the Rfam family "Bacterial small subunit ribosomal RNA", at positions 524 to 776 of the family's 1533-position model. The record is from RNAcentral.
UACGUAGGGCGCAAGCGUUAUCCGGAAUUAUUGGGCGUAAAGAGCUCGUAGGCGGUUUGUCGCGUCUGCCGUGAAAACCCGGGGCUCAACUCCGGGCCUGCAGCCGAUACGGGCAGACUAGAGUUCGGCAGGGGAGACUGGAAUUCCUGGUGUAGCGGUGAAAUGCGCAGAUAUCAGGAGGAACGCCGGUGGCGAAGGCGGGUCUCUGGGCCGAUACUGACGCUGAGGAGCGAAAGCGUGGGGAGCGAACAGG